Molecule: ribosomal RNA, 429 nt
Filed under: Actinomycetes bacterium
Lineage: Bacteria; Bacillati; Actinomycetota; Actinomycetes
Description: Actinobacteria bacterium partial 16S ribosomal RNA
Rfam family: Bacterial small subunit ribosomal RNA
Source: RNAcentral
UAGGGAAUCUUCCGCAAUGGGCGAAAGCCUGACGGAGCAACGCCGCGUGAGUGAUGAAGGUCUUCGGAUCGUAAAACUCUGUUAUUAGGGAAGAACAAAUGUGUAAGUAACUAUGCACGUCUUGACGGUACCUAAUCAGAAAGCCACGGCUAACUACGUGCCAGCAGCCGCGGUAAUACGUAGGUGGCAAGCGUUAUCCGGAAUUAUUGGGCGUAAAGCGCGCGUAGGCGGUUUUUUAAAUCUGAUGUGAAAGCCCACGGCUCAACCGUGGAGGGUCAUUGGAAACUGGAAAACUUGAGUGCAGAAGAGGAAAGUGGAAUUCCAUGUGUAGCGGUGAAAUGCGCAGAGAUAUGGAGGAACACCAGUGGCGAAGGCGACUUUCUGGUCUGUAACUGACGCUGAUGUGCGAAAGCGUGGGGAUCAAACAGG